UAAGCAGCACAAACAGCACGCUGUCAGUUGACAUGAGUCAGUAUUUCUGAGAAGUGGCAGGAUGUUCAGGGGUUUCUUUGUGAAGACGCUUGGCUUUGUCGGUUACACCAUUCAAUAUGGCUGCAUCGCUCACUGCGCCAUUGAGUAUAUUGGUGAAUUCGUGUCGUGCUCAGGACCUUCCAUGGAACCCACCAUCAUUAGCCAUGAUGUUGUUUUCUCAGAGCGAUUAAGCCAUCACCUCUAUCAAAUACAAAAAGGUGAUAUUGUAAUAGCCAAAAGCCCCUUUGAUCCAAAGAUGAAUAUUUGUAAAAGAGUAAUCGGACUGGAGGGGGACAAAGUCUGCACCAGUGGACCAUCUGACAUCUUUAAAACACAUACUUACUGUGGAUCAGGCUUCGCUCGGUUGCCGCCCCAGCCUGGCAGGUCUGUCCAUGGUCUAGACCCACGGAGCAGCUCGCAGAGGCAUUGCCUCACCCCUCACCGAGAGGAUAAAGGCGAUUGGGGGGUGCAUGGCCCAAGCGGUCAGUAAUAAUGAUCCCAUCUGAAAUGAGCAGUGAAUUCAUGUGAACUUUCACACUGCUCGGAGCUUAUCUUAUAAUCACAAACGAAUCUAUAGAUAUUCUUACAAUACGACCCUCUUUCCACCUGGUAUCAGGAUGUGUUUUCGGUGAUCCAGUGAUCACAUGUGGUCAGCCGAGAUGCAUUCCUGUUUCCAUCUGGUAUUACCAUGCAUCUCAAAUGCUUCUUGUGUUCAGAUUUCAAGGGGAGGAUCUCUGAUUUCAUGAUGACAUACAUCCAUCAAUAUAUCCAUCGCGGUGUCAGUGUGUUACCGUAUCAUAUUACACCGCAAAAACAACCUAGUUGCAUAGAAUAAAUGUUACUAUAAUAACAUUUUUGCAAACUGAAUUUUACUUGCCAAAAUCUUCAUUUAGUUGCAGUUUCCUGAUAAAUCCUCAAGUACAACGGAAGAUCACACACUGCUAUGCUAUGAUAUUGAAACACUUUUACCCUAACGCAUCAUUUAAAAAUAUAUAUUUUAACACUUGUAUCACAAACUCACCUACAUUUACACACUUAUUCCAAUCUGAUUAGUUUGCGCAGUAGCUCACCUAGACUCUAAAUUAGGUGGUUUGAGACCAGUUAAGCACGCAAGCUGACACGUGAGACAAAGCAACAUUUUGGGCAGAAUUAUCCAUUAUUUUGUACUAACCUGAAUUUCAGAUGUGUGUGCUUGUCAUCUGUGUCUCUGGAUGUUUUUGUUUUAUUUUCAUAUCAGGAGGUUAUUUCCUUUCAAAGACACACGUAACUGGCAGAGUUUAAACUUGUUUAAUUAGCGCAGCGGUUGAUUGACAGGUGAGGGGUGGCGCUUCACUGUUGACUGGAUUCAGAAAGGAUUGUGUUUCACACCUAAUGUGGUCACUUGUGCUUUUGUGGUUUCAGUGAUCCAAUCACAAAGCAUCUUGGACAACAUCUCCUUCUGUAUUUAACGCUGAUCACUUGCUAUUGGAUCACAAAAACACAUCUUAAUUCCAGGUGAAAAUGGGGUCUAUUAUACUAUCAGUACUAUCAAAUGUAAAUACUACCAUUUCUUAAUGGGGCAAAAGAUAAUUGCACUGCCCAAAUGUACUGAUGGAAUAAUGAACUUGCUCUUGUAAAUUGUUAUUUUUAGUUUGAGGAAUAUUCAUAAUAAAGGUUAUGCACUAAUUUCUAUGAAAUCCAACAUUUUUCUGUUCCUCAUACUGCCGUUAUCUAGGUACCAAGAGGGCAUGUGUGGCUUGAAGGCGAUAACCUUCGGAAUUCCACAGAUUCCCGAAGCUAUGGCCCAAUUCCCUUUGCCUUGAUUCGAGGACGUGUUUGCUUAAAGUUGUGGCCACCACAUAGUUUUGGCGUAUUGGCUG
RNA transcript from Xyrauchen texanus (razorback sucker), 1898 nucleotides. It is a transcript of the gene named mitochondrial inner membrane protease subunit 1-like, with no coding region annotated. Lineage: Eukaryota; Metazoa; Chordata; Actinopteri; Cypriniformes; Catostomidae. The record is from RefSeq and is a predicted model, not a curated record. The transcript is spliced from 6 exons.